CUAAAUGUGAAAGUCUGUAAAAAAGGAUGUUGUCUGAUUCUCUGAAAGAGAAAUGUCCUGAGAUCUGAUUAGGAUACGGACCAGUUGGGCUUUAUGAGAAUUUAGCUGGCAAGUGACGGGCUUUUAUGGCAAUGGCUGGAGGGAAGAGAACAAGACGGUCUCAUGCUUCUGCCCCAUCACUAGAAAACAGGAGAAGACCUGAAGACAACCAGCUGUAAUACAAAGCCUGGAAGGACAAGUGCUGAGACAGCAGGGGCGGGGGCACGAGGAGGGAUGUUUUCAAUCUCCUUCCUGUCCAUGUGGAUAUGACUUGGAGAAUUGUCUAAACUGGACCAAAAGGCUACCACAAAAACUAAUGAAAUGUCAGGCACGAAACUCUGAAGAAUGAGGUCAGCUCUGGGAAGCAGAUGUGAAAAAUAUAUGUGGUCAAAGGCUGGAGGCACAAAGGUAGGAAAAUAUGAAGGAAAUUCCCAGGGCAAUUGGUGGGCCAUUUUGGAUCUUGGGAUCACUGAGGCAGGAGAGAAGAGACUGCAAAUUAGGUUGAGCUCACAGUAAAGAACACUUUCAAUGCUAGACUAAGAAACGGAGCUUUGCACUUGGUAACUGUUCCCAAACAUGGGAUCAUCUUAGCUUAAUGUCUUCCUCUUUCAUAGGAUGACAUUCAGAUCACACCACAUAAGCCACGUGAGCAGCCAAAGAAAUUUGUGCAAGACCCAAAACAUGUGAAGUACAGGCUAGGUCCUGGGGAGGGGAGCUGUGGAAGAAGAAAUUCAGA
Molecule: long non-coding RNA, 775 nt
Filed under: Equus caballus (horse)
Lineage: Eukaryota; Metazoa; Chordata; Mammalia; Perissodactyla; Equidae
Description: lncRNA (ENSECAG00000057921.1)
Source: RNAcentral